ACUAGCUCAGUAACACGUGGAUCAUUCCUGCCCAAGGGUCUGGGAUAACCCCGGGAAACUGGGGAUAAUACCGGAUGGAUCACUAGUGCUGGAAUGCUUGGUGGUCGAAAGGUAACGCCUUUGGAUGGGUCUGCGGCGGAUUAGGUUGACGCCGGUGUAACGUACCGGCGUGCCUGUAAUCCGUACGGGUUGUGGGAGCAAGAGCCCGGAGAUGGAUUCUGAGACACGAAUCCAGGCCCUACGGGGCGCAGCAGGCGCGAAAACUCUACAAUGCAGGCAACUGCGAUAGGGGGACAUCGAGUGGCAUCCACCUUGGGUGCCUGUCCAACCGUCUAAAAAACGGUUGUUAGCAAGGGCCGGGUAAGACCGGUGCCAGCCGCCGCGGUAAUACCGGCGGCUCGAGUGGUGGCCGAUAUUAUUGAGUCUAAAGGGUCCGUAGCCGGCUUUGCAAGUCCCCUGGGAAAUCCAGCGGCUUAACCGUUGGGCUUUCAUGGGAUACUACAUUGCUUGGGACUGGGAGAGGUAGGAGGUACUCGGGGGGUAGGGGUGAAAUCCUGUAAUCCUCCGGGGACCACCGGUGGCGAAGGCGUCCUACCAGAACAGGUCCGACGGUGAGGGACGAAAGCUAGGGGCACGAACCUGAUUAGAUACCCGGGUAGUCCUAGCCGUAAACGAUGCCCGCUAGGUGUCACGACGGUCGUGAAUCGUCGUGGUGCCGUAAGGGAAGCCGCGAAGCGGGCCACUUGUGGAAGUACGGCCCGCAAGGCUGAUACUUAAAGGGAUAUGGCCGGUGGUAGCCAC
This 801-nucleotide ribosomal RNA is filed under the name uncultured archaeon. RNAcentral describes it as "bacterial SSU rRNA". It matches the Rfam family "Archaeal small subunit ribosomal RNA", at positions 83 to 882 of the family's 1478-position model. The record is from RNAcentral.